Molecule: microRNA precursor, 111 nt
Filed under: Macaca fascicularis (crab-eating macaque)
Lineage: Eukaryota; Metazoa; Chordata; Mammalia; Primates; Cercopithecidae
Also listed under: 4 other names
Description: miRNA (ENSMFAG00000015750.2)
Rfam family: mir-1179 microRNA precursor family (bases 9-90)
Source: RNAcentral
CUUAUUGGCUGGAAAGGAAGAAGCAUUCUUUCAUUGGUUGGUGUGUAUUGCCUUGUCAACCAAUAAGAGGAUGCCAUUUAUCCUUUUCUGACUAGCUGAGUGAGCAGGGUG